UGGGGAAUAUUGGACAAUGGGCGAAAGCCUGAUGGAGCAACGCCGCGUGUGUGAUGAAGGUCUUCGGAUCGUAAAGCACUUCCGACCGGGACGAAAACCUGGUGGCUAACAUCCACCAGACUGACGGUACCGGGAGAAGAAGCACCGGCUAACUCUGUGCCAGCAGCCGCGGUAAUACAGAGGGUGCGAGCGUUAAUCGGAAUUACUGGGCGUAAAGCGCACGUAGGUGGCGACGUAUGUCGGGUGUGAAAUCCCCGGGCUCAACCUGGGAACCGCAUUCGAAACUGCGUUGCUGGAGUACGGAAGAGGAAGGCGGAAUUCCCGGCGUAGCGGUGAAAUGCGUAGAUAUCGGGAGGAACAUCAGUGGCGAAGGCGGCCUUCUGGUCCAGUACUGACACUCAAGUGCGAAAGCGUGGGGAGCAAA
RNAcentral lists this ribosomal RNA (424 nucleotides) under uncultured bacterium. RNAcentral's name for it is "bacterial SSU rRNA". It matches the Rfam family "Bacterial small subunit ribosomal RNA", at positions 355 to 772 of the family's 1533-position model. The record is from RNAcentral.